GGGUGGUUAUGGGGCCGCUAUGGGUCCCAUCCCCCAGCAGCAGUUAUGGGGUGGUUAUGGGGUGGUUAUGGGGUGGUUAUGGGGCCACUAUGGGUCCCAUCCCCCAGCAGCAGUUAUGGGGCAGGGAUGGGAAGUUUGGGGUUCCCCCCUUGGCGGCAGUUAUGGGGUGGUUAUGGGGCGGAUAUGAGUGGUUAUGGGGUUCCCCCCCAGAGGUGGUUAUGGGGCCGUUAUGGGUCCCAUCCCCCAGCAGCAGUUAUGGGGUGGCUAUGGGGUGGCUAUGGGGUGGUUAUGGGGUUCCCCUCCCAACAACCGUUAUGGGGUGAUUAUGGGAUGUUUCAGAUUCCCGCCCCUCCUCCCCCUGCUGGCAGUUAUGGGGCAGGGAUGGGACAUUUGGGGUCCCCCCGAUGGCGGUUAUGGGGCAGAUAUGGGAGGUUAUGGGGCUGCCCCCCCCGGUGGUGGUUAUGGGGCAGAUAUGGGAAGUUUGGGGUCCCCCAGGUGGUGGUUAUGGGGCAGAUAUGGGAAGUUUGGGGUUCCCCUGGUUGUGGUUAUGGGCCAGAAAUGGGAGGUUAUGGGGCUGCCCCCCCCCAGCGGUGGUUAUGGGGCAGAUAUGGGACAUUUGGGGUCCCCCUGCUGGCAGUUAUGGGGCAGAUAUGGGAGGUUAUGGGGCUGCCCCCCCAGCGGCAGUUAUGGGGCAGAUAUGGGAAGUUUGGGGUCCCCCCUGCUGGCGGUUAUGGGGCAGAUAUGGGAGGUUAUGGGGCUGCCCCCCCCGGUGGUGGUUAUGGGGUAGGGAUGGGCGUUUGGGGUUCCCCUCCCCAGUGGCCACUAUGGGGCAGCUAUGGGGCCACAUUGGUGCCGCUAUGGGGCCACUAUGGGGCGGCUGUGGGCAGUUAUGGGGCAGCUACGGGGACACUGUGGGGCAGCUNNNNNNNNNNNNNNNNNNNNNNNNNNNNNNNNNNNNNNNNNNNNNNNNNNNNNNNNNNNNNNNNNNNNNNNNAUAGUGCUGCUAUAGGGCAGCUAUGGGGCAGCUAUGAGCAGUUAUGGGGCAGCUAUGGGGGAGCUACAGAACCACGAUGGUGCUGCUAUAGGGCAGCUAUGGGGUGGCUAUGGGGCUGCUAUGGGGCCACAAUGGUGCUGCUAUGGGGCUGCUAUGGGGCCACUAUGGGGCCGCUAUGGGGCCACAUUACUGCCACUAUGGAGCUUCUAUGGGGCAACUAUAGGGCAGCUAUGGUGCUGCUAUGGGGCUGCUAUGGGGCCGCAAUGGGGCCACCUUGGUGCCGCUAUAGGGCAGCUAUGGAGCCAGAACGAUGCCGCUAUGGGGCAGCUAUGGGGCCACAUUGGUGCUGCUAUGGGGCAGGUAUGGGGCCACAUUGGUGGUGCUAUGGGGCUGCUAUGGGGCAGCUAUGGGGCCACUAUGGUGCUGCUAUGGGGCUGCUAUGGGGCCACAAUGGUGCUACUAUGGGGCCGCUAUGGGGCUUCUAUGGGGCCACAAUAGUGCCGCUAUGGGGCCGCUAUGGGGUCAGAAUGAUGCCGCUAUGGGGCAGCUAUGGAGCCACAUUGGUGCUGCUAUGGGGCCGCUAUGGGGCUGCUAUGGGGCCACAAUGGUGCUGCUAUGGGGCCGCUAUGGGGCCAGAAGGACGGCACUAUGGGUCCGCUAUGGGGCCAGAAGGACGGCGCUAUGGGGCAGCUAUGGGGCCAGAAUGGUGCCGCUAUGGGGCCAGAAGGACGGCGCAAUGGGGCAGCUAUGGGGCCAGAAGGACGGCGCUAUGGGGCCAGAAGG
Molecule: long non-coding RNA, 1777 nt
Organism: Phasianus colchicus (ring-necked pheasant)
Lineage: Eukaryota; Metazoa; Chordata; Aves; Galliformes; Phasianidae
Source: Ensembl